This is a long non-coding RNA of Tigriopus californicus, 1278 nucleotides long. RefSeq lists it as uncharacterized. The transcript has 2 exons. The record is from RefSeq and is a predicted model, not a curated record. Lineage: Eukaryota; Metazoa; Arthropoda; Copepoda; Harpacticoida; Harpacticidae.
GGGAUAGGUACCAAUUGGCAGACGGAGAGUUUCCAAGGCUGAGUGGGCUAGCAUUGCGUUCUAAUGAGACAAGAGGUUUAACCAGUUUAUACGCGGUACAAACAGUGUGGCAAGAGUCCCAGCCAUACCCAAAAAUUGAGUCUAAGUGGACAUCAUGAGUAGAGGGAUUCCGGUUUGGCUACUUCUUUUGCAAACUUACCAUCAAUGAAGAUCCGCGCUGACACGGAAGUGAUCAGAAACAACGAGAGGGUUAUUGAAGGAUUCAUGGCGACGGAGAUACUGAUGAUUUGAGCUUGGACUAUGGCUAUUUAAAGCCCUGACACAAAUGUUUUCCCUCCAAUUAAGGGGCUAAUUUGCGGCUUGAACCUAGCCACAUCAGAGGCACACACUUUCGCCACCUCAUUUGGCAUGUUUAAGUGCAAAAUAACGAUCCAACCGAGAACUCAGUACUGACUUGUGUUGGAACAAAGUGCUGACUUGACGUUAGACUUAGUUGGGGGUGAUAAUGACACACGGUAUUGCCUGGAUGCGUUUUUGGGCAUUGAGUGUCAGCCUUUUAUGUUUGAUUAAUUAUUUUGUUGUCUUCUUAAUCUUAGGACCUUCUUUUUCAUCGGUGGAUGCUAAGAUCGGAGGGGUUGGAAGUGCCCAUCACAUCGUCCAAUGUCGCGUACAUAUAGGCUGUGUCGUAACAGUAUCAGAUUGGUUCUCCGGUCUCCGUCUGCGGGUGCGGCUAGCGUUUUAAAGUGUCCUGUAGAGAAAGGUCGGGAAGGAGAAUUAAACCAGGGAUCUCUCAUACUAUGAAAGUUCUUGAGCAAGUAUGUCACGUCUUCUCCUCUUAAAGUUUAACUUUCAGCACUGGGACCUGAACCCACGACGCCUGGGGAGAAGAUUCUUGACGUGUUUGUCCUACUUCUUAGACCGCUCGGGUACACUUUUAUGGAAAAGUCAAAUAACUUACUGCCAGGCCAUGUAAUGAUUGAUUCAUUACUCGUUUCGCCCUACCAGAAACACCUGCUCCCGUUUCCUUUCCCCGUCGAUUAGAUUGUCCUUGUUACGAAUGGCAUUACGGAAUCCUUCACUCAAUGACCAAGAUUAUGCGGAAGAUAAUAAUCUUGAAUACAAAUUUGGCUCUUGUCAACCUGUUACCGUAAAAGUGUCUACACCGUUCGCAAUACGUCUUUUUUUAUUGUUAUUGUAUACGUAUUCAUAAUUCGUUCAAUUUCUCAAAUAUUUCUAUCGGAAAAGGAAAUAAAUGUUGACAUGACUUGUUUGAUCAAA